RNAcentral lists this long non-coding RNA (681 nucleotides) under Callithrix jacchus (white-tufted-ear marmoset). Its description in RNAcentral is "lncRNA (ENSCJAG00000078276.1)". The record is from RNAcentral. Lineage: Eukaryota; Metazoa; Chordata; Mammalia; Primates; Cebidae.
AUGUGCAAGAGGCAGCCUUGGCAAGAAAACUUGCUGCAUAAUCUUCCAUGGACUAAAGAUGAAACUUUAAACCGCAAGGUUUCUACAGUUUGGAAUUUGACAAUGAAGCCUUUCAUUCAUCUUGAAUUGAUGUUUGUAUAUGGUGAAUGGAAUGGAUCCGAUUUCAAUCUUUUGUAAAUGGCUAGCCAGUUACCCCAGCUCUAUUUAUUGAAAGUUUGAUAUCAGAAUGAUGCAUGACUCAUAGAAUCAGUGAGGAGAAGUUGCUCCUUUUCAACUUAUUUGGAAUAGUUUCAGUAGAAAUGGUACAGCUCUUCUUUAUACAUCUGAGAGAAUUCAACUGCGAAUCUGUCUGUUCCAAGCCGUUUGCUGGUUGGUAGACUUUUAUUACUGAUUCAAUUUUGGAAUUCAUUAUUUGUCUGCUCAGAGUUGCACUUUCUUGUUCAAUCUUGGGAAGUUGUAUUUCCAGAAAUUUAUCAGUUUUUCUAAAUUUUCUAAGUUUGCAUGAAUAGAGGUGUUCAUAAAAUUCUUUGAGGGUUGUUUUAAAUAUCUAUAUCCCAUAGAUAUAGGGAUUGGGGGUAAUGUCCACUUUGUCAUUUCUAAUUGUGGGUGUUCAGAUUUUUUUCUUUUCAGUAAUCUACUUAUCAAUCUUAUUUUUCAAAAAAAAUUAUUAGAUUUGUUGAU